GGAAUAUUGGACAAUGGGGGCAACCCUGAUCCAGCCAUGCCGCGUGCGUGAAGAAGGCCUUAGGGUUGUAAAGCGCUUUCACUGGUGAAGAUAAUGACGGUACCCGCCGAAGAAACCCCGGCUAACUUCGUUCCAGCAGCCGCGGUAAUACGAAGGGGGCUAGCGUUGUUCGGAUUUACUGGGCGUAAAGCGCGCGUAGGCGGGUCGUUAAGUCAGGGGUGAAAUGCCGAGGCUCAACCUCGGAACUGCCUUUGAUACUGGCGACCUGGAGUUCGGGAGAGGUGAGUGGAAUUCCGAGUGUAGAGGCGAAAUUCGUAGAUAUUCGGAGGAACACCAGAAGCGAAGGCGGCUCACUGGCCCGAUACUGACGCUGAGGCGCGAAAGCGUGGGGAGCAAAC
RNAcentral lists this ribosomal RNA (398 nucleotides) under uncultured bacterium. RNAcentral describes it as "bacterial SSU rRNA". It matches the Rfam family "Bacterial small subunit ribosomal RNA", at positions 358 to 773 of the family's 1533-position model. The record is from RNAcentral.